AAGUCGUAACAAGGUUUCCGUAGGUGAACCUGCGGAAGGAUCAUUAAAAAUAUAGCAAACCGAGCGUCAGCGAGGUUUUGCGAUCAAAAUUGUAUUUAAAACCCAACUCUUUGAAUCAAAUAUAUAUUAUGUAUUUUAAAAAUAAAUAAAGAUCACUUUCAACAACGGAUCUCUUGGCUCUC
This 182-nucleotide unclassified non-coding RNA is filed under the name fungal sp. RNAcentral describes it as "partial internal transcribed spacer region". The stretch from base 1 to 46 matches the Rfam family "Eukaryotic small subunit ribosomal RNA", at positions 1786 to 1831 of the family's 1831-position model. The record is from RNAcentral. Lineage: Eukaryota; Fungi.